This 506-nucleotide ribosomal RNA is filed under the name uncultured bacterium. RNAcentral describes it as "partial 16S ribosomal RNA". It matches the Rfam family "Bacterial small subunit ribosomal RNA", at positions 29 to 523 of the family's 1533-position model. The record is from RNAcentral.
AGUGAACGCUGGCGGUAGGCCUAACACAUGCAAGUCGAACGGCAGCACAGGAGAGCUUGCUCUCUGGGUGGCGAGUGGCGGACGGGUGAGGAAUACAUCGGAAUCUACUCUGUCGUGGGGGAUAACGUAGGGAAACUUACGCUAAUACCGCAUACGACCUACGGGUGAAAGCAGGGGACCUUCGGGCCUUGCGCGAUUGAAUGAGCCGAUGUCGGAUUAGCUAGUUGGCGGGGUAAAGGCCCACCAAGGCGACGAUCCGUAGCUGGUCUGAGAGGAUGUUCAGCCACACUGGAACUGAGACACGGUCCAGACUCCUACGGGAGGCAGCAGUGGGGAAUAUUGGACAAUGGGGGCAAGCCUGAUCCAGCCAUACCGCGUGGGUGAAGAAGGCCUUCGGGUUGUAAAGCCCUUUUGUUGGGAAAGAAAUCCAGCUGGCUAAUACCCGGUUGGGAUGACGGUACCCAAAGAAUAAGCACCGGCUAACUUCGUGCCAGCAGCCGCAGUAA